Molecule: non-coding RNA, 203 nt
Organism: Procavia capensis (Cape rock hyrax)
Lineage: Eukaryota; Metazoa; Chordata; Mammalia; Hyracoidea; Procaviidae
Source: Rfam
GGGUGACUGAUCACACCCGCCAGCUGGCUAAUGCCAUAAUUAACAAAGUUGCUACUACGUCUGCAAAGUUUAAUAAAAAAAUUUGCCAACAAUAUGAUGGCACUGUCAGAGAGAUCACAGGGGACCUGGAGUCGACUUGCUCUCAAGGUGGAGUGACAAAGCUGCCUUCUCAAGAUGAAAAAUUGUGAGUUUGUUCAGCCAAA